RNAcentral lists this ribosomal RNA (253 nucleotides) under uncultured bacterium. Its description in RNAcentral is "partial 16S ribosomal RNA". It matches the Rfam family "Bacterial small subunit ribosomal RNA", at positions 524 to 776 of the family's 1533-position model. The record is from RNAcentral.
UACGGAGGGGGCUAGCGUUGUUCGGAAUUACUGGGCGUAAAGCGCACGUAGGCGGCCGAAUAAGUCAGAGGUGAAAGCCUGGGGCUCAACCCCAGAACUGCCUUUGAGACUGUAUGGCUAGAACGUCGGAGAGGUGAGUGGAAUUCCGAGUGUAGAGGUGAAAUUCGUAGAUAUUCGGAAGAACACCAGUGGCGAAGGCGGCUCACUGGACGACUGUUGACGCUGAGGUGCGAAAGCGUGGGGAGCAAACAGG